UUUUAUCCAUUAAAGUAAAUCCUGCCCAGUGACUAAUUCAACGGCCGCGGUACCCUAACCGUGCAAAGGUAGCAUAAUCACUUGCCUUUUAAUGGAAGGCUGGAAUGAAUGGACCAACGAAAUUCUAACUUUAUCAUUCUUAACCCUAAAACUUAGACCCUAGGUGAAGAUACCUAGAUUAAAAUGAAAGACAAGAAGACCCUAUAGAGUUUUAGUUUAACCGAUACCCUUUAUUAAUCUAAACUUUGGUUGGGGCGACCUAGGAUCUUUAUUAUCAUCCUUAACCCUUAAAGAUCAAUCCAUCUUUAAAAUGAUCCUACUUAUAGACUCUAAAAUAAACUACCUUAGGGAUAACAGGCUUAUCUUCCUAAAAAGUCCAAAUCGACAGGAAGGUCUGGCACCUCGAUGUUGGCUUAGAGUAACCUAAUAAUGCAAAAGUUAUUACUGGUCGGCUUGUUCAACCGUUAAACCUCUACGUGAUCUGAUUCAGACCGGA
The sequence is a ribosomal RNA, 496 nucleotides long. It matches the Rfam family "Bacterial large subunit ribosomal RNA", at positions 1837 to 2620 of the family's 2925-position model.